CCUACGGGAGGCAGCAGUGGGGAAUUUUGGACAAUGGGCGCAAGCCUGAUCCAGCAAUGCCGCGUGCAGGAUGAAGGCCUUCGGGUUGUAAACUGCUUUUGUACGGAACGAAAAGGCUCUGGCUAAUACCUGGGGCUGAUGACGGUACCGUAAGAAUAAGCACCGGCUAACUACGUGCCAGCAGCCGCGGUAAUACGUAGGGUGCGAGCGUUAAUCGGAAUUACUGGGCGUAAAGCGUGCGCAGGCGGUUUGGUAAGACAGGUGUGAAAUCCCCGGGCUUAACCUGGAAACUGCACUUGGGACUGAAAGGCUGGAGUACGGCAGAGGGGGAUGAAAUGCCGCGGGUAGCAGUAAAAUGCGUAGAUAUGCGGAGGAACACCGAUGGCGAAGGCGGUCCCCUGGGCCUUUACUGACGCUCAUGCACAAAAGCGGGGGGAGCAAACAGGAUUAGAUCC
This 455-nucleotide ribosomal RNA is filed under the name uncultured Comamonadaceae bacterium. Its description in RNAcentral is "partial 16S ribosomal RNA". It matches the Rfam family "Bacterial small subunit ribosomal RNA", at positions 338 to 785 of the family's 1533-position model. The record is from RNAcentral. Lineage: Bacteria; Pseudomonadati; Pseudomonadota; Betaproteobacteria; Burkholderiales; Comamonadaceae.